UAACGCAUGCCUUGUUAUUGUUUACUUUGUUUUUAUUCUUACAAUAAUAAUUCUUUAAAUUACAAUUUUUAACCAGAUUUUCCGAAGGAAAAAACUGGUUAUUAGAUUGGCGAAUGCGGGCGGGCUGGCUGGCUGGCUGGCGGGCUGGCGGAAUAAGCUUGUCCGGGCCAUAACUAUGUCGUUCAUUGUCAGAUUUUAAAAUCAUUUGGCACAUUUGUUCACCAUCAUUGAACGGUGUGUCGCGCGAAAUAAUUACGUCGAUAUCUCCAAGGUCAAGGUCACACUUUGAGUUCAAAGGUCAAAAAUGGCCAUAAAUGAGCUUGUCCUGGCCAUAACUAUGUCAUUCAUUGUGAGAUUUUAAAAUCAUUUGGCACAUUUGUUCACCAUCAUGGGACGGUGUGUCCCACGAAAGAAUCACGUCAAUAUCUCCAAUGUCAAGGUCGCCACGACUAAAAAUAGAUUAAAAAAAAAAAAUUACAAAGGGGGGUAUUUUUUUUUUAUCAUUUCAAAAGUUCAGUUUGAGUUUUCUCCCUUUAUCAGAUUUUUUUUUCACAAUGAAAACCUGGUUUUGUGACAAUUUUGUCCCUUGUUAAUAACUUAAAUUCAUUGAUGAUAGUUAAUAACUUAUAAAUUCAUUAAUGAUAGAUCAGGUAUAUUUUCAUUGUAUGUUAAUUCUUAAGAAAUGAAAUAAAUGCUUUAAACUCUCUGUAAGUGCAGAUAGUUAACAUCAGUGGUCAGUGAUGAUCUUUGAUCAGUGCUAAUCUUUACCAGGAUUCUAAGAAUAGCAGUGCUCUCAUUUGAUUGGAUGUUUACCUAUAUUACUAUGCCUGCUACACUUCAGAAUCAGGGGACUGGGACAUUGUUGACCUCUCCCAUAAGAACUAAUCAACCAAAACAUCUGGGUAUACAUGUGAAAGACUAAUGAUAGACCCCCUGGCUCUAAGUUGAAAGAGUUAGUCCACUAAUUGAAAGAUUGGGGUAAGUGAAUUACUAAUCUGGCAGACCUGUUUAAUGUAGCAACUGUUAGUUUUAUCAUGGAGGUGAGUUUAAUGUUCUAAGUUGAAAUUUCACCAAGUAAAAGUGACUUAGUCUUAUUUUUCUCUAAAUGAAAAUUUUGAAUUAAUGAUUUACUGUGUUUCACUAACUGGGUAUGUUGAGUUAGUGGAGUUAGUUUAGUUCUUUUAACUGAGUGCAAUUAUUAGUUAAGUGAUUACUAAGGAAAAGUGAAUUAGUAUUUGUUUCUCUAAGUGAAAAUAUUGAGUUAGUGAUUGAAUAAAGAACAGGACUUAGUGAAUUUAUGCAACAACAAGUUAGUGUUUUUAAUAAGUGAUGAGUGAUCAUAGUGAUUUUACUAAAUGACAAAUCUCAGCUAAUCUUUUAAUUAAAGUGACUUAGUGUAGUGUGAUUAACGCAAGUUGUAAGUGAUUAAUCAAAGCCGAAGAAAUGGAUUUAAACUGUUUGUUUUCUGAAAGUGUCGUACAUUAGACUUAAGUGAAUAAUACAAUGAAAGCGAGUUCUUAAUUAUUUGUUCAGUGAAGUGAAUUGAGUGAUUUCAAUUAUAGUGAUCACGGGUGUUUGUUUAUCCUAGUGCUUUAUACAGGCAUUUGCCUCAUACUGAACACAAACUGUUGACCAAGUUAAGACAUGAAAGUGUAUUAUUUUUUUCGAAACCUUGUUUUAACUAUGAUUAACUUUUGAAAGUUUAUGAACUGUAUUUCUAUAUGAAUUGUUUGUACUGUUUGCAUUAUUGCUCAAGUAUAAAUGAGGAAUGUUUGGAAAGAAUAAAAAUAGUUUAGUCA
Dreissena polymorpha is the source of this 1799-nucleotide long non-coding RNA. RefSeq lists it as uncharacterized. The record is from RefSeq and is a predicted model, not a curated record. NCBI's taxonomy places the organism in Eukaryota, Metazoa, Mollusca, Bivalvia, Myida, Dreissenidae. The transcript is spliced from 2 exons.